This 33-nucleotide ribosomal RNA is filed under the name Purpureocillium lilacinum. Its description in RNAcentral is "partial 28S ribosomal RNA". Lineage: Eukaryota; Fungi; Ascomycota; Sordariomycetes; Hypocreales; Ophiocordycipitaceae. The record is from RNAcentral.
GUGACCUCGGAUCAGGUAGGAAUACCCGCUGAA